This 253-nucleotide ribosomal RNA is filed under the name uncultured bacterium. Its description in RNAcentral is "partial 16S ribosomal RNA". It matches the Rfam family "Bacterial small subunit ribosomal RNA", at positions 524 to 776 of the family's 1533-position model. The record is from RNAcentral.
UACGUAGGGGGCAAGCGUUGUCCGGAUUUAUUGGGCGUAAAGCGCGCGCAGGCGGUCCUUUAAGUCUGAUGUGAAAUCUUGCGGCUCAACCGCAAGCGGUCAUUGGAAACUGGGGGACUUGAGUACAGAAGAGGAAAGCGGAAUUCCACGUGUAGCGGUGAAAUGCGUAGAGAUGUGGAGGAACACCAGUGGCGAAGGCGGCUCACUGGUCCGGUACUGACGCUGAGGUGCGAAAGCGUGGGGAGCAAACAGG